AAAUUGAAGAGUUUGAUCAUGGCUCAGAUUGAACGCUGGCGGCAGGCCUAACACAUGCAAGUCGAACGGUAACAGGAAGCAGCUUGCUGCUUCGCUGACGAGUGGCGGACGGGUGAGUAAUGUCUGGGAAACUGCCUGAUGGAGGGGGAUAACUACUGGAAACGGUGGCUAAUACCGCAUAACGUCGCAAGACCAAAGAGGGGGACCUUCGGGCCUCUUGCCAUCAGAUGUGCCCAGAUGGGAUUAGCUUGUUGGUGAGGUAACGGCUCACCAAGGCGACGAUCCCUAGCUGGUCUGAGAGGAUGACCAGCCACACUGGAACUGAGACACGGUCCAGACUCCUACGGGAGGCAGCAGUGGGGAAUAUUGCACAAUGGGCGCAAGCCUGAUGCAGCCAUGCCGCGUG
Molecule: ribosomal RNA, 406 nt
Filed under: Salmonella enterica subsp. enterica serovar Infantis
Lineage: Bacteria; Pseudomonadati; Pseudomonadota; Gammaproteobacteria; Enterobacterales; Enterobacteriaceae
Also listed under: 4 other names
Description: bacterial SSU rRNA
Rfam family: Bacterial small subunit ribosomal RNA
Source: RNAcentral